GACGUAGGUGGCGAACGUUAUCCGGAAUUAUUGGGCGUAAAGGGUGCGUAGGUGGCCUGACAAGUUAUCAGUGGCAAAUCGAGGCUCAACCUCGUGGAAACUGGUAAUACUGUCCGGCUUGAGUGCAGGAGAGGUUAACGGAACUCUAUGUGGAGGGGUAAAAUCCAUAGAUAUAUAGAUGAACAUCAAUAAAGGCGAAGGCAGUUAACUAUUCUGUUACUGACACUGAGGCACGAAAGCGUGGGGAGCAAAACGG
This 256-nucleotide ribosomal RNA is filed under the name uncultured bacterium. RNAcentral's name for it is "partial 16S ribosomal RNA". It matches the Rfam family "Bacterial small subunit ribosomal RNA", at positions 524 to 776 of the family's 1533-position model. The record is from RNAcentral.